This 453-nucleotide ribosomal RNA is filed under the name uncultured crenarchaeote. RNAcentral's name for it is "bacterial SSU rRNA". It matches the Rfam family "Archaeal small subunit ribosomal RNA", at positions 54 to 513 of the family's 1478-position model. Lineage: Archaea; Thermoproteati; Thermoproteota. The record is from RNAcentral.
CGAGUCAUUGUAGUAAUACAAGGCAGACGGCUCAGUAACGCGUACUCUCCUAACCUAUGGACGGGAAUAACCUCGGGAAACUGAGCAUAAUGCCCGAUAGAACAUUAUGCCUGGAAUGGUUUAUGUUCCAAAUGAUUUAUCGCCGUAGGAUGGGACUGCGGCCUAUCAGUUUGUUGGUGAGGUAAUGGCCCACCAAGACUAUUACAGGUACGGGCUCUGAGAGGAGUAGCCCGGAGAUGGGUACUGAGACACGGACCCAGGCCCUAUGGGGCGCAGCAGGCGAGAAAACUUUGCAAUGUGCGAAAGCACGACAAGGUUAAUCCGAGUGGUUUCUGCUAAAGGAACCUUUUGUCGGUCCUAGAAACACCGAUGAAUAAGGGGUGGGCUAGUUCUGGUGUCAGCCGCCGCGGUAAAACCAGCACCUCAAGUGGUCAGGAUGAUUAUUGGGCCUAA